Molecule: ribosomal RNA, 1742 nt
Filed under: Campylobacter jejuni
Lineage: Bacteria; Pseudomonadati; Campylobacterota; Epsilonproteobacteria; Campylobacterales; Campylobacteraceae
Description: partial 23S ribosomal RNA
Rfam family: Bacterial large subunit ribosomal RNA
Source: RNAcentral
AGGUAAGCUACUAAGAGCGAAUGGUGGAUGCCUUGACUGGUAAAGGCGAUGAAGGACGUACUAGACUGCGAUAAGCUACGGGGAGCUGUCAAGAAGCUUUGAUCCGUAGAUUUCCGAAUGGGGCAACCCAAUGUAUAGAGAUAUACAUUACCUAUAUAGGAGCGAACGAGGGGAAUUGAAACAUCUUAGUACCCUCAGGAAAAGAAAUCAAUAGAGAUUGCGUCAGUAGCGGCGAGCGAAAGCGCAAGAGGGCAAACCCAGUGCUUGCACUGGGGGUUGUAGGACUGCAAUAUGCAAGAGGUAAGUUUAGCAGAACAUUCUGGAAAGUAUAACCAUAGAGGGUGAUAGUCCCGUAUGCGAAAAACAAACCUUAGCUAGCAGUAUCCUGAGUAGGGCGGGACACGAGGAAUCCUGUCUGAAUCCGGGUCGACCACGAUCCAACCCUAAAUACUAAUACCAGAUCGAUAGUGCACAAGUACCGUGAGGGAAAGGUGAAAAGAACUGAGGUGAUCAGAGUGAAAUAGAACCUGAAACCAUUUGCUUACAAUCAUUCAGAGCCCUAUGUAGCAAUACAGGGUGAUGGACUGCCUUUUGCAUAAUGAGCCUGCGAGUUGUGGUGUCUGGCAAGGUUAAGCAAACGCGAAGCCGUAGCGAAAGCGAGUCUGAAUAGGGCGCUUAGUCAGAUGCUGCAGACCCGAAACGAAGUGAUCUAUCCAUGAGCAAGUUGAAGCUAGUGUAAGAACUAGUGGAGGACUGAACCCAUAGGCGUUGAAAAGCCCCGGGAUGACUUGUGGAUAGGGGUGAAAGGCCAAUCAAACUUCGUGAUAGCUGGUUCUCUCCGAAAUAUAUUUAGGUAUAGCGUUGUGUCGUAAUAUAAGGGGGUAGAGCACUGAAUGGGCUAGGGCAUACACCAAUGUACCAAACCCUAUCAAACUCCGAAUACCUUAUAUGUAAUCACAGCAGUCAGGCGGCGAGUGAUAAAAUCCGUCGUCAAGAGGGAAACAACCCAGACUACCAGCUAAGGUCCCUAAAUCUUACUUAAGUGGAAAACGAUGUGAAGUUACUUAAACAACCAGGAGGUUGGCUUAGAAGCAGCCAUCCUUUAAAGAAAGCGUAAUAGCUCACUGGUCUAGUGAUUUUGCGCGGAAAAUAUAACGGGGCUAAAGUAAGUACCGAAGCUGUAGACUUAGUUUACUAAGUGGUAGGAGAGCGUUCUAUUUGCGUCGAAGGUAUACCGGUAAGGAGUGCUGGAGCGAAUAGAAGUGAGCAUGCAGGCAUGAGUAGCGAUAAUUAAUGUGAGAAUCAUUAACGCCGUAAACCCAAGGUUUCCUACGCGAUGCUCGUCAUCGUAGGGUUAGUCGGGUCCUAAGUCGAGUCCGAAAGGGGUAGACGAUGGCAAAUUGGUUAAUAUUCCAAUACCAACAUUAGUGUGCGAUGGAAGGACGCUUAGGGCUAAGGGGGCUAGCGGAUGGAAGUGCUAGUCUAAGGUCGUAGGAGGUUAUACAGGCAAAUCCGUAUAACAAUACUCCGAGAACUGAAAGGCUUUUUGAAGUCUUCGGAUGGAUAGAAGAACCCCUGAUGCCGUCGAGCCAAGAAAAGUUUCUAAGUUUAGCUAAUGUUGCCCGUACCGUAAACCGACACAGGUGGGUGGGAUGAGUAUUCUAAGGCGCGUGGAAGAACUCUCUUUAAGGAACUCUGCAAAAUAGCACCGUAUCUUCGGUAUAAGGUGUGGUUAGCUUUGU